RNAcentral lists this long non-coding RNA (3514 nucleotides) under Sorghum bicolor (sorghum). RNAcentral's name for it is "long non-coding RNA (SBIC_LNC016234)". The record is from RNAcentral. Lineage: Eukaryota; Viridiplantae; Streptophyta; Magnoliopsida; Poales; Poaceae.
UUCUCCUAUCUAGACAUGGUUAGAAUAAAUAAUAUAUAUAUAUAUGUGUAUACACAAACCUGUGAGAUGGCAGGGUUCUAUAAUGAUGGAUCUUGAAUGUUCAAGCACCCUGGGUUCUUCAAUCUUGUGGAAUCUUGUCGCAAGGUCGAAGCAGCAUCUGAUGUCUUGUCUAUUCCACACUCAACAUAACAAAUGGGUAAUCCUACGAAAGCUAGUGGUACAUUAAAUUAGCAGACAUCAAGAUCAAUAUCAGAAUCUUUACGCCAAUUGCUUCCCCGACAACGGUGCUAAAAAUGCUUGUAGAUAUUUCUUAUGCAGAGUUAAAAUAUGAAGGAUUCUGUAAGCACACAGAAAACCAUUGUAGCAUUUUACCAGGAGUAUUCCAGGUAUCGUUAUUUAUAUUUUACCACUAGGAAACAAUAGAUAAAGAUAUUGAUACUUCACCAUCAUGUAUCUACUAACUAAUACACCAACUAGACUAAAGUAGGGGUAAAUAAUAGAUGAUAGGAAUUAUGCAUAUGUGACACACACCGGAGAAUUCUAUGAUAAAAGAGUAGAUAACUAAAGUGAGAGAACAAUGGGAGAGUUUAAGGUUCCUAAAUACUCUCUAUUACUAAGGUUCUAUUAUAACCAAUCCAUGGUAGGUAAAGCAAUCACACAAUAACGCUUCGAGACAUCAGAACACUAGUCACGGAAAGAUGAGAAGGGGACUAGGAAGCUCCGAAUACGGUCCUACAACACCAAUCCAAACGUGGUGGAAUACGUCGGUCGUCAGGGCUGUCACCACCUAGGGCUACCACAACUAUCCAUAGAACUGGGUGCAAUCUCAGGUAACCUAUAGUCUGGACACCAUGUCUCUACUUCAAAUUACUACUCUAAUCAUAAUUAAUAACUAGAGCACCCGAUACGGGUGGAGAUCCUAUGCUAAAGUAUAACGACUAUACUAACCAAUCAAAUGUAAUGCAUAAAAGUAAAAAGAGAAGAUAAAAUAUAUUAAAGCGUAAUUGUAACAAGAAAAGAUACAAAGAUAUACCAAACUCUGAUGACUUCUCCGAAGACUCCUCCAGAACCUGGGCAUAGCGCCGCUCUCCCUAACUCCCAACUAGAACUAAUCUACUACGUUGGAAAGUUUAGCCUUAAUUCUCUAGAGGUGAGAGGUCAUUCAUUUGAGAGACGCCUCUACAUCUCCAUAAAGUGGUGCCCUCAGGGAGGGGGUCUGCCUCUUUAUUUAUAGCCUAGAAAAGCCUCCCACCUCUUCUAGACAGGCAAUAUGGGACUAAUUCUUCCACCGUUUGCUCUGUUGGGCUAUUAUACAUCAACUUGUGCCAUCCAAUCAUCCCUCAUGUGAGCCCACUCAAGGGAGCAGCUUGGAGCGCCUCUCUUGGGCCUCUAUCAUGCCAUAUGAGCCUCUUCUCACGCCAUGGGCCUUGCUUGGGCGUGGGGCCCAUUAGUGGUAAUUCUCCUUUAUUUAUAAAAUUAAUAUCUUUUCACUCCGGACUCCAAAUAUAGCAAAUGAUAUGUUCGUUUCGAUCGUGUCAACAAGCCUGUCACAAUGGUGUAGUCCAAAUCAUUAUUUGACAUACUUUUAUUUGAUGGAAAAUUGCAUAUUCCUAUAAAACAAGUGAGAACACCAAAACUUGUGGAACUCGUUAGAAUCAAACCCUACAACUAUGCUUUAUGGUUGAUAUUAUGUUAUAUUGAGCAAUAGUUGAUGGUAUAAAAUAGGCAUUAAGGACCAUCAACAUAUUCCUCUAUUCAUCACCCACACACAUUCCACAUCCACUUAGAAAAUAUUCUACUUCUACACUGGGAGAAGACACCCAAAAAAUAUAAAUAUUUAAUAUCUUAUUCUAUUUAUCCAAUAAAGCUCCAGUUAUCCCAGUUGAUACUCCCUACUGUUAUCAUUGCAUUAAAAGGGAUGGUUAAUCUCUAAAAAAAGAGAGAGAAAAAAGAAAAAAAAGAAAGAAAGAAAGGGGACAAAAGUCCCAAUGCAAAAGAAAAGAAAGAUAGCCAAAUCCUUGUUCUCAGAUUAGGGAGGUAUGUUAUCCCCAAGGAGCAAAUGUAGAAUUAGAUAUUCACCAUCACUUAUCACCCCUAAUAAGCCCCUUUUAUUCUUAUCACUUCAUUUCACUUCACUCAUGUGCACAUAUGACUUGAUUGUAUAAUUAAUUUCGCUGGAUUCAUGGUUUAACUAUGCAAUACAUGCAAGUAGGUCUGAAUUGUCUUUCCCACCUAUGAGCUCCACAUAAGCCAAUUAGAAGCAGGGUGAGAAAGAGAAGGCAACUAUGUCUUAGUGAUACAAAAAUACCACACAUGAGAGACUGGAAAGUGUCAUACAAGGAAACUCUAAGUUUUAUUUGAAAAUCUUGCAAAACUCUAGAAUAAUAGUUGAACAAAGUGCAGGUAGCAUAGUGCUUGACUUAUCUGUUUUGUGUUUCAACUGCCCAAGACCAAAGUGAUAGCUAUAAGCCACAUGGUGAAAGGUAAAAUAGGUGAGCCUUGAGUCAGUAUAGUUUACUCUAAUCUGGAGGGGAGUCCUUGUUUAAAUACUUGUGUACUUGUGAGCUGUGAAAGCAUUGUAGCAACUUCUGAUCCAAGUUUACUAGUUAGGCUUGGCUAAGGGACUACCAAAGGGUAAGCUUGGGUGAACUUGUUGAUGGUCAUUAAUGCCUAUUUUAUACCAUCAACUAUUGCUCAAUAUAACAUGAUAUUGUUGACACCAUUUUUGGGCACGUAUCUAGAAUCGUCAGGGUGUAGGUCAACAAGAUGCGGUGGCAGUACUUGAUCUGCGAGAGAAGCUGCCGAUGAAAAUGGUUACCGGUGAAGGGAUAGCAGAAUAUGACUAAGUUCAUAGAUGGCUGUGUGUCUGUGCCGAUGGUUGGUAUUAACUUGUGCCGAUGGCUACGAUAAGAGGUCUGCCGAUGAUGCGGAAGGAAAGCCUAAAGGUUGCCGAUUGAUCGGGGGAGGUGUCCUAGUUUGUCGCGACAGGAUAGUUUUAUGUUUUCCUUAGUUAUUUGAGUCGUUUUGUACACGGAUUCUGUUUAAAUUUGGAAUUCGAAUUCUAGUUGUGUCUGGUUGUAGCUCUUUGAGCAGGGUAUAAAUGUAGACCCUAAGGCCUUGUAAUGAAUCUAUCAAUCAAUCAAACACCAGUUUUUACUCAUAUUCCAGCAUCUACUUUUUUGACGACUUCAUCAUACUUUUUCCUUUUUAUUACGAGUUCUUAGGAAUUCGUCGACUUAAGCUCGGCGUGUUCUCAAGUUCUGCGUGAAUACCUCUUGGCCGUGGCAUCCGGGCGCAUCGCUGUUGUCAGGACCAAAGUAUUCGAGUUAUCACCUUUGCCGAUAGUAAGGUCAAAUCGGCUGGCACGCCUUAACGUUUAAAUCGGGUAUUAGCCCUUUGUGUUUGCAGAUCUAGCUUUUGCAUCAACACAUCUUUUGGCACGCCCAGUAGGACCAGAUUCAAGAUCAAGAUCAAUAUGUCGACUUCUGAGUUUGAUCAGGAGAACGUUAUCCCC